Molecule: ribosomal RNA, 393 nt
Filed under: uncultured bacterium
Lineage: Bacteria
Description: partial 16S ribosomal RNA
Rfam family: Bacterial small subunit ribosomal RNA
Source: RNAcentral
AUACGGAGGAUGCGAGCGUUAUCCGGAUUUAUUGGGUUUAAAGGGAGCGUAGGUGGGAUAUUAAGUCAGCUGUGAAAGUUUGGGGCUCAACCUUAAAAUUGCAGUUGAUACUGGUUUCCUUGAGUACGGUACAGGUGGGCGGAAUUCGUGGUGUAGCGGUGAAAUGCUUAGAUAUCACGAAGAACUCCGAUCGCGAAGGCAGCUCACCGGGCCGGAACUGACACUGAUGCUCGAAAGUGCGGGUAUCAAACAGGAUUAGAUACCCUGGUAGUCCGCACAGUAAACGAUGAAUACUCGCUGUUUGCGAUACACUGUAAGCGGCCAAGCGAAAGCGUUAAGUAAUCCACCUGGGGAGUACGCCGGCAACGGUGAAACUCAAAUGAAUUGACGGGG